AACGAACGCUGGCGGCAUGCCUAACACAUGCAAGUCGAACGAGACCUUCGGGUCUAGUGGCGCACGGGUGCGUAACGCGUGGGAACCUGCCCUUAGGUUCGGAAUAACUCCCCGAAAGGGGUGCUCAUACCGGAUAAUGUCUUCGGACCAAAGAUUUAUCGCCUUUGGAUGGGCCCGGGUUGGAUUAGCUAGUUGGUAGGGUAAAAGCCUACCAAGGCGACGAUCCAUAGCUGGUCUGAGAGGAUGAUCAGCCACACUGGGACUGAGACACGGCCCAGACUGCGACGGGAGGCAGCAGUGGGGAAUAUAGGACAAUGGGCGAAAGCCUGAUCAAGCAAUGCCGGGUGAGUGAUGAAGGCGUUAGGGUUGUAAAGCUCUUUUACCCGGGAUGAUAAUGACAGUACCGGGAGAAUAAGCUCCGGCUAACUCCGUG
Molecule: ribosomal RNA, 433 nt
Filed under: uncultured bacterium
Lineage: Bacteria
Description: partial 16S ribosomal RNA
Rfam family: Bacterial small subunit ribosomal RNA
Source: RNAcentral